Molecule: non-coding RNA, 212 nt
Filed under: Solibacillus silvestris
Lineage: Bacteria; Bacillati; Bacillota; Bacilli; Caryophanales; Caryophanaceae
Description: T-box sequence
Rfam family: T-box leader
About the family: Uncharged tRNA acts as the effector for transcription antitermination of genes in the T-box leader family.
Source: RNAcentral
UUACAGGCAAUGAAAAAGCCAAGUAGAUUAUUUUAAGGUUAUAGAGAGUGCCGUCUUUGCUGAAAUCGGCAUAACCCGCUGGAAUAAUCGAACCUCCUUUUGAGCCGUUAUGACAACAUAACCGUACCCUUUGCGAUAAAAAGGCUGAAGCUGCACACUUUAUGUGUGAAUAAAGGUGGUACCGCGGAGAUCAAUGCAUUUUCGUCCUUACU